GAUCAUGGCUCAGGAUGAACGCUGGCGGCGUGCUUAACACAUGCAAGUCGAACGGGAAACAUUUUAUUGAAGCUUCGGCAGAUUUAGCUUGUUUCUAGUGGCGGACGGGUGAGUAACGCGUGGGUAACCUGCCUUAUACCGGGGGAUAACAGCCAGAAAUGGCUGCUAAUACCGCAUAAGCGCACAGAACCGCAUGGUUCCGUGUGAAAAACUCCGGUGGUAUAAGAUGGACCCGCGUUAGAUUAG
RNAcentral lists this ribosomal RNA (246 nucleotides) under uncultured bacterium. Its description in RNAcentral is "partial 16S ribosomal RNA". It matches the Rfam family "Bacterial small subunit ribosomal RNA", at positions 15 to 244 of the family's 1533-position model. The record is from RNAcentral.